Molecule: RNA transcript, 1429 nt
Organism: Humulus lupulus (European hop)
Lineage: Eukaryota; Viridiplantae; Streptophyta; Magnoliopsida; Rosales; Cannabaceae
Gene name: T-complex protein 1 subunit theta-like
Exons: 2
Source: RefSeq, a predicted model, not a curated record
UCUGUGAGUGCUACAAGUAUAUCACCUUCUAUUGUGUUUUUUUAUUGAUUAACUUACUAAUUUGCCGCACUACUGGUGCUGUUGCUAUGCUUAGCAAGCCAAACCCAGAUGACCUGGGACAUGUUGAUUCAGUUUCAGUAGAAGAAAUUGGUGGUGCUAGGGUACAUAAAUAUUUUGUGGAUCAGGAAACGAUAGCAAUUGCAAUAUAAGUAUCCGGGUGUGACUCGAACUUCAGACUUUGUGUGAGCAAACCAAAGGCUGAUUGUUUGAGCUACAACCCUUGGGUAUUUUGUUCUUGUUGUUUUUAUUAUUUAUUUUUCCUUUUAAUCUCAUUAACAUUUCCCAUAAUGUAAAUAUAGGUCACUGUUGUGAAGAAUGAAGAAGGUGGGAACUCCGUAACCACUGUUUUAUUGUGAGGAACCACAGAUAGCAUUUUAGAUGACAUUGAAAGAGCAGCUGAUGAUGGAGUAAAUAAUUACAAGGAAAUUUUGACUUGUUUUUCUUUGUGUAUCGAUCUUUAUUUAGAAGCAACAUUAGGUAUCUUUAAUUGUCUAUUACAAUCUUCUUAGGAUGGUAUGACCGUAUGAUCCAUACAGAGUAGGUUUUUUGACAGUACUUGUUGCAUCAGACUUAUGAAUUGGAAACUUAUCUACCCCACUAACCAUUCUUACCGGGUACUUUUCCUGUUAGGCUAUGUGCGGGGAUAGCCGAAUGGUUCCUGGUGUAGUUGCUACUGAAAUUGAAUUAGCUAAGAGAGUGAAAGAGUAUUCAUUUAAAGAAACAAGGUAAUUUGUUUGUUUCCACUUUUGUUUUUUUUUUCCCAGUUUUUGUUUGUCUUGUUUCCCAUAACCUAACUCUAAACACAUUUCCCACUUCCAACUUAGAAAGAAAGAGAAACUUUGAGAGAAUAAGAGGAAUAGCAUGGGCUUCAUAAAGGACCUCUAACAGCCAUAUUCACAUUCUACUUGUUAAUUUGGAUGCCAUACUUGAUGCCCUGUUGGUUACCUAUCACAGAGAGAAUUUUGCCAAAGCUAUUUACACAUCAAUGCUAUGUUUGUAUUGAACUUUACAGAAAGGAAUUAACCUUGCUAGGUCUUUAGAGAAGGAAUAAAUGGGGAUAGAAGUUAGUACAAACUGUAUGAAUUGUUUCUUCAUAUUGGUUCUUCUUAUGGAAUAUAGGGUGAUAAAUUAUUUAGUAUUAAUUGUUCUUUCCCUUUCUUUUUCUCCUGAGUUGCAUAGGUCUGGUUUCCUGGUUUCCUUUACUCUCAAAUGUGCUAAGUUUCAAUUCUUGUAUUUAAUGACCUUAUUUGUUUUCUUUUUCCUCUGAAAUUAGUUUCUCUCUAUGUUAUUUGUUCUUUUUGUUUUUCUUGAUUUAUAUUAUUUCUUUAUGGGAGUGAUUUUAGUAAUAAUAAGAAACUAGCUUUUGGUG